This 602-nucleotide ribosomal RNA is filed under the name Astenus indicus. RNAcentral describes it as "partial large subunit ribosomal RNA". It matches the Rfam family "Eukaryotic large subunit ribosomal RNA", at positions 386 to 761 of the family's 3401-position model. Lineage: Eukaryota; Metazoa; Arthropoda; Insecta; Coleoptera; Staphylinidae. The record is from RNAcentral.
GUUCAUAGUACGUGAAACCGUUCAGGGGUAAACCUGAGAAACCCGAAAGGUCGAAUGGGGAGAUUCAGCGUGUCUCGUCGCAGGAGAGUUCUGGUCGCGUGACGAUUCGGUGCUUGCACCGGACUGCACCUUUCGGAUCCGUAACCUGUGGCGAGCUCGUGCACUUCUCCCCUAGUAGGACGUCGCGACCCGUUGGGUGCCGGUCUAAGGCCGACGGUGGAGCCUUGGACGAUAUCCUUCUGGAUAUCGCCCAAGACCCGUCGUGUCCCGGCCGGCCCGCUCGACGGUGUGACAGAGACGUGGGGUCGCCAAUUGUUGGCGUCCGGCCCGUCACAAGUUCGGGCGGCCGCCCGGAUGUCGGACCUGUGUGCCGACCUCGGGCCCGCACGACUGUUGGUGACGGUGUCCUCGGACAGACUUCGAACACGUCGGUCGGCGACGCUCUAGCUUUGGGUACUUUCAGGACCCGUCUUGAAACACGGACCAAGGAGUCUAGCAUGUGCGCGAGUCAUUGGGACCGCAUCUAAACCUAAAGGCGAAAUGAAAGUGAAGGCCGCGUCGCGCGUGCCGAGGGAGGAUGGGUCGGGCUCUGCCCGCAACCC